Molecule: ribosomal RNA, 253 nt
Filed under: uncultured bacterium
Lineage: Bacteria
Description: partial 16S ribosomal RNA
Rfam family: Bacterial small subunit ribosomal RNA
Source: RNAcentral
UACGUAGGGUCCGAGCGUUGUCCGGAAUUAUUGGGCGUAAAGAGCUCGUAGGCGGUUUGUCGCGUCUGCUGUGAAAACCCGGGGCUCAACCCCGGGCCUGCAGCCGAUACGGGCAGACUAGAGUUCGGCAGGGGAGACUGGAAUUCCUGGUGUAGCGGUGAAAUGCGCAGAUAUCAGGAGGAACACCGGUGGCGAAGGCGGGUCUCUGGGCCGAUACUGACGCUGAGGAGCGAAAGCGUGGGGAGCGAACAGG